Molecule: non-coding RNA, 1663 nt
Organism: Musa acuminata subsp. malaccensis (wild Malaysian banana)
Lineage: Eukaryota; Viridiplantae; Streptophyta; Magnoliopsida; Zingiberales; Musaceae
Source: RefSeq, a predicted model, not a curated record
AGUUGAAAUGAUUGCAGGAUUAGGAUGGAAUGGGGAGUGCUUGCUCAAUCUUUUCCUACAGUCUCUCACACAGUUCCCUCUGAAUAGAAGCUUCCAUUGGCGAUCUUAAUCCAUAAUCCCACUUGCUUCACUCAUGGUGGAAGUUGGGAUGACAGCUACCAUCUCUGCAGUGAGCUAUCAAGUUGGCCGGAUGCUGCCCCAGUUGCAUUGCACACAUUGUACACUACAAUAGCAGAAACUACGGAUUGUUUGAUGUCAAAAGAAUGACUUAAAUGAAGGCAGUGAGAGAGAGGCUGCAUGGUAAUACUCUUGCUGGCAUUUCGAGUAACCUUCAUGGAAGGAUAUUCUCCAAUUCAUCUGAUGGCCAUGCAGAGCUCCAAUCGAGUUCAACUGAUCAAUAGAAAUGCUGUUUUUACCAUCAGAAUUGUGAGACCUGAAUUCUGCAGAUGCCUAUAAUUAAAGAUCCAAGAAUUUCAUGUCGUAAUGACAUCUGAUAACCAGAAAAGGCAGUCAAAUAGAAACAAGGAUAUUUGUAAGAAAAAAGAAAUAUUACUGUUCUUCAUGGACAAGAUGAUGCAGAUGACUGCAAGAACACAUUCUGUUGGAGAUUUAAAUGAAUGAAGAUGGUUCCACCAUGGGAUUAAUUCUAUCCAAAUCUUUAUCUGAGUAACUGUGACUGGUUCUUGAGUUCUGUUUUGUUUUGAGUUUUUGUGUGGGUACUUUUUGAUUCUAGAUGUGCAUGACUCUGCAACAGUGGCUUCAUUGCUCAUCCUGGAUGAGCAUCCUUCAUGUGCAGUUGACAUACAAAUGCAAGCAUUUGGCAACAUCUAGCUUCUUUUCAAAGAAAAGAAAAAUGAUAUGCCUGAUAAUGAUACAGAAUGCAGUUCCUGAAUGUUGUGCUCUAUGAACUUGAGGCCUUGAUGAAAGAGCAAAACUCCAGAAAAAAUGUCAUGCAGAGAAAGGCAAACUGAUAUCGAAAAACAAGGACCAGAUUCUUUUUUGUCUUUGCAGAUGAAUUCAUUGAGUGUUGAAUGGAGGAGGGACAGGUGAAAAGAGAAGCAGACAAAGGAAGUAGAGCAUUAUUGGGGAGACCAUGCUCAUAAAGAACACAGAACAUGAAAGCCAAAACCAAAGGGUAAUAACAGAAGCUAUUUUUUAUUACUAUUAAUUUUUUCCACCAAUGAGGCUGCUCAUGAUGUUACAAAAAGUCAACGCUAGAAGAGAAAGAAAGGGUAAAAAGUCAUCAUCCUUUUGUGGUAAGUAUUUAUAAGUCAAUCAAAGAUCAUUUCUCCUUAAUAUAAGACACUAGCAUUUUGAUCAUGUCUCUUUAUAUUGUGGAAGACCUCAUGUACUGCAUACAUGAAAAACUACUACAAUCUUCAAGAAAAUCCUCACUCGUAUAAACCUUUUAGGCCUUAAUAUUCCGAUCUAAAACUUAAUCCUCUCAAAAGAAACCCUUCUGCAUCCUCAGAUAGAGAAUUCUAAGUAUAUGUUUUCCUGUUAUCUUGAAUAUAGCAUAUUUUCUCAUAAUUAGUGAUGCACGUACCUAUCAUUAGCAUUCCUUCCUCCCAAUCCAGCUAACUACUGAACAAAUCAUCAUCACACAUGAGUUGUGUUAAGUCCUAAGUAUCUGUGUCCAAACAAGCAUGCAGCAGGAGUUCAU